Molecule: long non-coding RNA, 815 nt
Organism: Hemicordylus capensis (graceful crag lizard)
Lineage: Eukaryota; Metazoa; Chordata; Lepidosauria; Squamata; Cordylidae
Exons: 5
Source: RefSeq, a predicted model, not a curated record
AGACUACAUAUCCCAGAACUCAUUGCAUCUGGCAUGCAGUCAUAGCAAUGUGCCAGGUUUCAGACAGGAGAAGGGGGUGAAAGAACUCCUUCACUUUCCCUGCUGUGGCCAACAGAGCAGCAACAUAGGGGGUCCACUGGAGUGCACUGUGCGGCAAGACUACCACGCUAUACCUGGGAGUGCAGAUGGGCUUUUUCCUUUCCUGUUCUCUCCCCCAAUCUUCUUCUGAUCAAGUUGACAAAUAUGUGAUCAGAAAAUCAGUCUGCUGCAUGUAAUUCUGGCUCAACUGAUGCACCGUUUUCCAUUUGGGAUGACUCUGGUGGAGAUAUUCUGAUAAGAAAUCUGGAUUGGGCAGGAUCAGGAUAUGAGAGAUGUUCCAGCCAAGAAAUUCAAUGGUGCUACAAGAGACUCUUAACUUGAGGACAACUGCCAUUAUGAUGAGUGUUGUGUGUGGAGGUGGCUAUCCUAGGGAUGCACUGCAUGCACACACCUCCUUGGGAUCCUUAUCAGUGGAAACUAGCCAAGCCACCAGAGGUUGUAAGAAGAUUUCACCUUCACUGCAUCCCCAGAGUUAUCUCCCUUCAUACACACCCACACCCACACACAUACGCACACACACCACCUGUCAUAAUGACACCGUGUAUCCCUGCAGAAAGCCAGCCUUCCUCCUUCUCAUACUUGUAUGUUAAUCCUUUUCAUUUCAACAGUUCCUUAAUGAUCUCCAUUAUAUUUUGGCAGCUGUGCCAAAUAUUGGAGAGAUGGCUCUUGUUCUAAUCUCAGUGAGUCAUAUUCAUGUAAUAAAUUAAGAUUCCAAA